This 950-nucleotide long non-coding RNA is filed under the name Citrus x clementina. RNAcentral describes it as "Citrus clementina (C. clementina) long non-coding RNA (CCLE_LNC005151)". Lineage: Eukaryota; Viridiplantae; Streptophyta; Magnoliopsida; Sapindales; Rutaceae. The record is from RNAcentral.
CCAGCGGAAAAAUGCCACAAAAACACGUGGGCUAUAGCCUUGGGGGGUGGGGCUGGCCAAGUUCGUCCGCCGGACUCGGAAUGGGACGAGACUUUGCGAGCGGCCUCCGUGUGCCAAAAACAGGCCGUGGGCACAGCAGCGUACAUAGCAGUGGGCACAGCCGUGCCCAAAAAUAACCGCCCGAAGGUCGGGGCGCCAAGUUCGUCCAACGGAAAAAGGCCACAAAAACGGGUGGGCUAAAGCCUUGGGGGGUGGGGCUGGCCAAGUUCGUCCGCCGGACUCGGAAUGGGGUGACACUUUUCGAGCGGCCUCCGUGUGGCAAAAAUAGGCCGCGUGCUCAGCCGCGCCCAAAAAUAACCUCCUGAAGGCCAGGGCGCCAAGUUCGUCCAGCGGAAAAAGGCCACAAAAACGGGUGGGCUAUGGCCUUGGGGGGUGGGGCCGGCCAAGUUCGUCCGCCGGACUCGGAAUGGGAUGAGACUUUGCGAGCGGCCUCCGUGUGUAAAAAAUAGGCCGCGGGUACAGACGGGCCCAAAAAUAACCUCCCGAAGGCCGGGGCGUCAAGUUCGUCCAGCGGAAAAAUGCCACAAAAACACGUGGGCUAUAGCCUUGGGGGGUGGGGCUGGCCAAGUUCGUCCGCCGGACUCGGAAUGGGACGAGACUUUGCGAGCGGCCUCCGUGUGCCAAAAACAGGCCGUGGGCACAGCAGCGUACAUAGCAGUGGGCACAGCCGUGCCCAAAAAUAACCGCCCGAAGGUCGGGGCGCCAAGUUCGUCCAGCGGAAAAAGGCCACAAAAACGGGUGGGCUAAAGCCUUGGGGGGUGGGGCUGGCCAAGUUCGUCCGCCGGACUCGGAAUGGGGUGACACUUUUCGAGCGGCCUCCGUGUGCCAAAAAUAGGCCGCGUGCUCAGCCGCGCCCAAAAAUAACCUCCUGAAGGCCGGGGCGCCAAGUU